AGAAGGAUAACCUGCAUUUCUCCUGACAGUGCAACCAUUGCUCUUGGCAGUGAAAUGUCCGGUGGAAUCCAGGACGUUAGAGCUGAAGAUAUCACAGCAAUCAACACUCAAUCCGGCGUCAGAAUCAAAACUGCAGUAGGAAGAGGAGCUUAUGUCAAAGACAUUUUUGUGAGAAGAAUGAACCUCACCACAAUGAAGUAUGUUUUUUGGAUGACAGGCUCUUAUGGAUAACACCCAGAUCAAGGAUAUGAUCCAAAUGCACUGCCUAAUAUUACCCAAAUAAAUUACAGAGACGUUGUGGCUCAGAAUGUGACCUAUUCUGCGAGACUGGAUGGGAUUAAAAAUGAUCCUUUU
This 354-nucleotide unclassified non-coding RNA is filed under the name Hevea brasiliensis (rubber tree). The record is from RNAcentral. Lineage: Eukaryota; Viridiplantae; Streptophyta; Magnoliopsida; Malpighiales; Euphorbiaceae.